ACGCUGAAGCCCAGCUUGCUGGGUGGAUGAGUGGCGAACGGGUGAGUAACACGUGAGUAACCUGCCCUCUUCUUUGGGAUAACGCCCGGAAACGGGUGCUAAUACUGGAUAUUCACUGAUCUUCGCAUGGGGGUUGGUGGAAAGGUUUUUUCUGGUGGGGGAUGGGCUCGCGGCCUAUCAGCUUGUUGGUGGGGUGAUGGCCUACCAAGGCUUUGACGGGUAGCCGGCCUGAGAGGGUGACCGGUCACAUUGGGACUGAGAUACGGCCCAGACUCCUACGGGAGGCAGCAGUGGGGAAUAUUGCACAAUGGGCGAAAGCCUGAUGCAGCGACGCCGCGUGAGGGAUGGAGGCCUUCGGGUUGUAAACCUCUUUCGCUCAUGGUCAAGCCGCAACUUAGGGUUGUGGUGAGGGUAGUGGGUAAAGAAGCGCCGGCUAACUACGUGCCAGCAGCCGCGGUAAUACGUAGGGCGCGAGCGUUGUCCGGAAUUAUUGGGCGUAAAGGGCUUGUAGGCGGUUGGUCGCGUCUGCCGUGAAAUCCUCUGGCUUAACUGGGGGCGUGCGGUGGGUACGGGCUGACUUGAGUGCGGUAGGGGAGACUGGAACUCCUGGUGUAGCGGUGGAAUGCGCAGAUAUCAGGAAGAACACCGGUGGCGAAGGCGGGUCUCUGGGCCGUUACUGACG
RNAcentral lists this ribosomal RNA (682 nucleotides) under uncultured Actinomycetes bacterium. Its description in RNAcentral is "bacterial SSU rRNA". It matches the Rfam family "Bacterial small subunit ribosomal RNA", at positions 66 to 745 of the family's 1533-position model. The record is from RNAcentral. Lineage: Bacteria; Bacillati; Actinomycetota; Actinomycetes.